UGGGCGUUAAGUUGCAGGGUAUAGACCCGAAACCCGGUGAUCUAGCCAUGGGCAGGUUGAAGGUUGGGUAACACUAACUGGAGGACCGAACCGACUAAUGUUGAAAAAUUAGCGGAUGACCUGUGGCUGGGGGUGAAAGGCCAAUCAAACCGGGAGAUAGCUGGUUCUCCCCGAAAGCUAUUUAGGUAGCGCCUCGUGAAUUCAUCUCCGGGGGUAGAGCACUGUUUCGGCUAGGGGGCCAUCCCGGCUUACCAACCCGAUGCAAACUGCGAAUACCGGAGAAUGUUAUCACGGGAGACACACGGCGGGUGCUAACGUCCGUCGUGAAGAGGGAAACAACCCAGACCGCCAGCUAAGGUCCCAAAGUCAUGGUUAAGUGGGAAACGAUGUGGGAAGGCCCAGACAGCCAGGAUGUUGGCUUAGAAGCAGCCAUCAUUUAAAGAAAGCGUAAUAGCUCACUGGUCGAGUCGGCCUGCGCGGAAGAUGUAACGGGGCUAAACCAUGCACCGAAGCUGCGGCAGCGACACUCAGGUGUUGUUGGGUAGGGGAGCGUUCUGUAAGCCUGUGAAGGUGGCCUGUGAGGGUUGCUGGAGGUAUCAGAAGUGCGAAUGCUGACAUAAGUAACGAUAAAGCGGGUGAAAAGCCCGCUCGCCGGAAGACCAAGGGUUCCUGUCCAACGUUAAUCGGGGCAGGGUGAGUCGACCCCUAAGGCGAGGCCGAAAGGCGUAGUCGAUGGGAAACGGGUUAAUAUUCCCGUACUUGGUGUUACUGCGAAGGGGGGACGGAGAAGGCUAUGUUGGCCGGGCGACGGUUGUCCCGGUUUAAGCGUGUAGGCUGGUUUUCCAGGCAAAUCCGGAAAAUCAAGGCUGAGGCGUGACGACGAGGCACUACGGUGCUG
Molecule: ribosomal RNA, 898 nt
Filed under: Salmonella enterica subsp. enterica
Lineage: Bacteria; Pseudomonadati; Pseudomonadota; Gammaproteobacteria; Enterobacterales; Enterobacteriaceae
Description: partial 23S ribosomal RNA
Rfam family: Bacterial large subunit ribosomal RNA
Source: RNAcentral